AUUGAACGCUGGCGGAAUGCUUUACACAUGCAAGUCGAACGGCAGCACGGACUUCGGUCUGGUGGCGAGUGGCGAACGGGUGAGUAACAUAUCGGAACGUAUCCAAUAAUGGGGGAUAACUAAUCGAAAGGUUGGCUAAUACCGCAUACGCACUACGGGGGAAAGCUAGGGACCUCCGGGCCUGGCGCUAAUGGAGCGGCCGAUAUCUGAUUAGCUAGUUGGUGGGGUAAAGGCCCACCAAGGCGACGAUCAGUAGCUGGUCUGAGAGGACGACCAGCCACACUGGAACUGAGACACGGUCCAGACUCCUACGGGAGGCAGCAGUGGGGAAUUUUGGACAAUGGGCGCAAGCCUGAUCCAGCCAUUCCGCGUGAGUGAAGAAGGCCUUCGGGUUGUAAAGCUCUUUCGCAAGGGAAGAAAACUUACCCUCUAACAUAGGGUGAGGUUGACGGUACCUUGAUAAGAAGCACCGGCUAACUACGUGCCAGCCGCCGCCGUAA
Molecule: ribosomal RNA, 500 nt
Filed under: uncultured bacterium
Lineage: Bacteria
Description: partial 16S ribosomal RNA
Rfam family: Bacterial small subunit ribosomal RNA
Source: RNAcentral